RNAcentral lists this long non-coding RNA (470 nucleotides) under Olea europaea subsp. europaea. Lineage: Eukaryota; Viridiplantae; Streptophyta; Magnoliopsida; Lamiales; Oleaceae. The record is from RNAcentral.
CUCCUAAAUAGAGUCAAAAUGUCAAAUGGAUGAAUUUAAAAUAAAACGAACACCUAAAUUUAGCUGUUUCUCUAGGACACUUAUAAUUCUGCGUCAUUUGUAACCGACAAAAAAUAAUGUGACUUGGAUUAGUUAAACUCUAAAUAGUCAUCCAAAAUCUCCAAUACACCCAGGAAACCUCAUUUUCAGUAAUUCAAGUAACAUCCAUAGAAUGCCAGUCUUCUAUAAUAACUACGUUUUUGGAUGCAACAACAUAAUCUGGAGCAAAUAAUCAAUGAUACUGAUGGGUGGAAAAGAAGCAGCAAGGUCUCGUGGCGGUGGACAAGCAUCCUAACCUGGAAAUUGAAGAUGGCAACGUUGGAGGCUUAAACGUGCCUCGAUAAGAAUACAAGUCUGUCAAAUUGAAAUCUUGAUUAAUACUAUAGUACACGGACAAAUCAAGUACAUAUGCAUCAAUUCUAAAGUGUUUG